This 337-nucleotide unclassified non-coding RNA is filed under the name soil metagenome. Its description in RNAcentral is "partial contains 5.8S ribosomal RNA, internal transcribed spacer 2, and large subunit ribosomal RNA". The stretch from base 1 to 120 matches the Rfam family "5.8S ribosomal RNA", at positions 35 to 154 of the family's 154-position model. The record is from RNAcentral.
GAUGAAGAACGCAGCGAAAUGCGAUAAGUAAUGUGAAUUGCAGAAUUUAGUGAAUCAUCGAAUCUUUGAACGCACAUUGCGCCCCUUGGUAUUCCAUGGGGCAUGCCUGUUCGAGCGUCAUUUGUACCUUCAAGCUCUGCUUGGUGUUGGGUGUUUGUCUCGCCUCUGCGUGUAGACUCGCCUUAAAACAAUUGGCAGCCGGCGUAUUGAUUUCGGAGCGCAGUACAUCUCGCGCUUUGCACUCAUAACGACGACGUCCAAAAGUACAUUUUUACACUCUUGACCUCGGAUCAGGUAGGGAUACCCGCUGAACUUAAGCAUAUCAAUAAGCGGAGGA